AUGCAAGUCGAACGCAGUAGCAAUACUGAGUGGCGAACGGGUGAGUAUAAUGUAGGUAUCUGCCUUUUGGUUUGGAAUAACACGAGGAAACUUGUGCUAAUACCGGAUAAGCCUUUACAGGGAAAGUUUUAACGCCAAAAGAUGAGCCUGCACUUGAUUAGCUAGUUGGUAAGGUAAUGGCUUACCAAGGCUACGAUCAAUAGCUGAUCUGAGAGGAUGAUCAGCCACAUUGGGACUGAGACACGGCCCAAACUCCUACGGGAGGCAGCAGUGGGGAAUCUUGCACAAUGGGGGGAACCCUGAUGCAGCGAUGCCGCGUGAGUGAAGAAGGCCUUUGGGUUGUAAAGCUCUUUCGUCGGGGAAGAAAAUGACUGUACCCGAAUAAGAAGGUCCGGCUAACUUCGUGCCAGCAGCCGCGGUAAUACGAAGGGACCUAGCGUAGUUCGGAAUUACUGGGCUUAAAGAGCUCGUAGGUGGUUAGAAAAGUUGGUGGUGAAAUCCCAAGGCUUAACCUUGGAACUGCCAUCAAAACUUUUUAACUAGAGUAUGAUAGAGGAAAGUGGAAUUUCUAGUGUAGAGGUGAAAUUCGUAGAUAUUAGAAAGAACACCGAUUGCGAAGGCAGCUUUCUGGAUCAUUACUGACACUGAGGAGCGAAAGCAUGGGUAGCGAAGAGGAUUAGAUACCCUCGUAGUCCAUGCCGUAAACGAUGUGUGCUAGACGUUGGAAAUUUAGUUUUCAGUGUCGCAGCAAAAGCGUUAAGCACACCGCCUGGGGAGUACGACCGCAAGGUUAAAACUCAAAUGAAUUGACGGGGACCCGCACAAGUAGUGGAGCAUGUGGUUUAAUUCGAAGAUACGCGCAGAACCUUACCAACACUUGACAUGUUCGUCGCGACUCUAGAGAUUAGAGUUUUCGGUUCGGCCGGACGAAACACAGGUGCUGCAUGGCUGUCGUCAGCUCGUGUCGUGAGAUGUUGGGUUAAGUCCCGCAACGAGCGCACCC
RNAcentral lists this ribosomal RNA (1003 nucleotides) under uncultured bacterium. Its description in RNAcentral is "bacterial SSU rRNA". It matches the Rfam family "Bacterial small subunit ribosomal RNA", at positions 55 to 1103 of the family's 1533-position model. The record is from RNAcentral.